RNAcentral lists this ribosomal RNA (253 nucleotides) under uncultured bacterium. RNAcentral describes it as "partial 16S ribosomal RNA". It matches the Rfam family "Bacterial small subunit ribosomal RNA", at positions 524 to 776 of the family's 1533-position model. The record is from RNAcentral.
UACGUAGGGUGCAAGCAUUAAUCGGAAUUAUUGGGCGUAAAGGGCGCGUAGGCGGAUUGAUAAGUCAGAUGUGAAAUACCAAAGCUCAACUUUGGUGCUGCAUUUGAAACUGUCUAUCUUGAGGAUUGACGGAGAAAGGGGAAUUCCACGUGUAGCGGUGAAAUGCGUAGAUACGUGGAGGAACACCGGUGGCGAAAGCGCCUUUCUAGUUUAGACCUGACGCUGAGGCGCGAGAGCUAGGGGAGCAAUCAGU